UCGAGCGGACAGAAGGGAGCUUGCUCCCGGAUGUUAGCGGCGGACGGGUGAGUAACACGUGGGUAAACUGGCUGGAAGACUGGGAUAAAUCCGGGAAAACCGGGCCAAAAACGGGUAAGUUCCUGGAACCGCAGGGUUCAGGGUUGAAAGACGGUUUCGGCUGUAACUUACGGAUGGCCCCGCGGCGCAUAACUUGUUUGGGGAGGUACCGGCCCACCAGGGCGACAAUCCGUACCCACCUGGAGAGGGUGAUCGCCACCCUUGGACCUGAAACACGGCCCAAAUCCCACGGGAGGGCGCCGUUAGGGAAUCUCCGCAAUUGGCGAAAAGUCUGAGGGACCAACGCCCCUGAGUUGAUGAAGUUUUUCGGUUCUAAAAGUUUUUUUGUUGGGGAAAAAAAAGGCAAGAAGUAACUGCUGGACCUUGGACGGACCCUAACCGAAAGCCCACGGCAACUUACUUCCAGCAGCCCGCGGAAAUACGUGGGUGCAAGGCUUUGUCGGAAUUUUUGGGCGGAAAGGGCUUCCAGGCGGUUUCCUAAAUUCUAAGGUGAAGGCCCCGGCUCCACCCGGGGAGGUCCUUGGAAACCUGGAAACUUGAGUGGAGAAAAGGAGAAUGGAAAUCCACGUGUAGCGGUGAAAUGGGUAGAGAUGUGGAGGAACACCAGUGGCGAAGGCGACUCUCUGGUCCGUAAACUACGCUGAGGAGCGAAAGCGUGGGGAGCGAACAGGAUUUGAUACCCUGGUAGUCCACGCCGUAAACGAUGAGUGCUAAGUGUUAGGGGGUUUCCGCCCCUUAGUGCUGCAGCUAACGCAUUAAGCACUCCGCCUGGGGAGUACGGUCGCAAGACUGAAACUCAAAGGAAUUGACGGGGGCCCGCACAAGCGGUGGAGCAUGUGGUUUAAUUCGAAGCAACGCGAAGAACCUUACCAGGUCUUGACAUCCUCUGACAACCCUAGAGAUAGGGCUUUCCCUUCGGGGACAGAGUGACAGGUGGUGCAUGGUUGUCGUCAGCUCGUGUCGUGAGAUGUUGGGUUAAGUCCCGCAACGAGCGCAACCCUUGAUCUUAGUUGCCAGCAUUCAGUUGGGCACUCUAAGGUGACUGCCGGUGACAAACCGGAGGAAGGUGGGGAUGACGUCAAAUCAUCAUGCCCCUUAUGACCUGGGCUACACACGUGCUACAAUGGACAGAACAAAGGGCUGCGAGACCGCAAGGUUUAGCCAAUCCCACAAAUCUGUUCUCAGUUCGGAUCGCAGUCUGCAACUCGACUGCGUGAAGCUGGAAUCGCUAGUAAUCGCGGAUCAGCAUGCCGCGGUGAAUACGUUCCCGGGCCUUGUACACACCGCCCGUCACACCACGAGAGUUUGCAACACCCGAAGUCGGUGAGGUAACCUUUAUGGAGCCAGCCGCCGAAGGUGGGGCAGAUGAUUGGGGAUAACGUCGUAACAA
RNAcentral lists this ribosomal RNA (1450 nucleotides) under Bacillus sp. (in: firmicutes). Its description in RNAcentral is "bacterial SSU rRNA". It matches the Rfam family "Bacterial small subunit ribosomal RNA". Lineage: Bacteria; Bacillati; Bacillota; Bacilli; Caryophanales; Bacillaceae. The record is from RNAcentral.